UACGUAGGGUGCAAGCGUUGUCCGGAAUUACUGGGCGUAAAGGGCUCGUAGGUGGCCAACUAAGUCAGACGUGAAAUCCCUCGGCUUAACCGGGGAACUGCGUCUGAUACUGGAUGGCUGGAGAUUGGGAGAGGGAUGCGGAAUUCCAGGUGUAGCGGUGAAAUGCGUAGAUAUCUGGAGGAACACCGGUGGCGAAGGCGGCAUCCUGGACCGAGAUUGACGCUGAGGCGCGAAAGCCAGGGGAGCAAACGGG
This 253-nucleotide ribosomal RNA is filed under the name uncultured bacterium. Its description in RNAcentral is "partial 16S ribosomal RNA". It matches the Rfam family "Bacterial small subunit ribosomal RNA", at positions 524 to 776 of the family's 1533-position model. The record is from RNAcentral.